UAGGGAAUCUUCCGCAAUGGGCGAAAGCCUGACGGAGCAACGCCGCGUGAGUGAUGAAGGUCUUCGGAUCGUAAAACUCUGUUAUUAGGGAAGAACAAAUGUGUAAGUAACUAUGCACGUCUUGACGGUACCUAAUCAGAAAGCCACGGCUAACUACGUGCCAGCAGCCGCGGUAAUACGUAGGUGGCAAGCGUUAUCCGGAAUUAUUGGGCGUAAAGCGCGCGUAGGCGGUUUUUUAAGUCUGAUGUGAAAGCCCACGGCUCAACCGUGGAGGGUCAGUGGAAACUGGAAAACUUGAGUGCAGAAGAGGAAAGUGGAAUUCCAUGUGUAGCGGUGAAAUGCGCAGAGAUAUGGAGGAACACCAGUGGCGAAGGCGACUUUCUGGUCUGUAACUGACGCUGAUGUGCGAAAGCGUGGGGAUCAAACAG
This 428-nucleotide ribosomal RNA is filed under the name Actinomycetes bacterium. RNAcentral's name for it is "Actinobacteria bacterium partial 16S ribosomal RNA". It matches the Rfam family "Bacterial small subunit ribosomal RNA", at positions 355 to 775 of the family's 1533-position model. Lineage: Bacteria; Bacillati; Actinomycetota; Actinomycetes. The record is from RNAcentral.